RNAcentral lists this transfer RNA (72 nucleotides) under Spirochaetales bacterium. RNAcentral describes it as "tRNA-Gly". It matches the Rfam family "tRNA". From Rfam's summary of the family: Transfer RNA (tRNA) molecules are approximately 80 nucleotides in length. Their secondary structure includes four short double-helical elements and three loops (D, anti-codon, and T loops). RNAcentral also lists the same sequence under 1 other name. Lineage: Bacteria; Pseudomonadati; Spirochaetota; Spirochaetia; Spirochaetales. The record is from RNAcentral.
GCGGGAAUAGCUCAGUGGUAGAGCUCCACCUUGCCAAGGUGGAUGUCGCGGGUUCGAGUCCCGUUUCCCGCU